Molecule: ribosomal RNA, 355 nt
Filed under: uncultured Gyoerffyella
Lineage: Eukaryota; Fungi; Ascomycota
Description: partial 18S ribosomal RNA
Rfam family: Group I catalytic intron (bases 64-315)
About the family: Group I catalytic introns are large self-splicing ribozymes. They catalyse their own excision from mRNA, tRNA and rRNA precursors in a wide range of organisms. The core secondary structure consists of 9 paired regions (P1-P9).
Source: RNAcentral
CUGGUCAUUUAGAGGAAGUAAAAGUCGUAACAAAGGUAUCCUUCCUACGGAAGCCUGUGUUCUCCAGCGACUCUAAAGAAGAGAGCAAGUGGCUUCGGCUGCUACAUGAUCGAAUUGCGGGGAAAUCCUAAAGCUCGCGCUACUCCCCAGCCGCCGAAAGGCCGCUGGUAUAGUUAUAACGCUCGAGAUGUGCCAAUGGAUGAUCCGCAGCCAAGCCCCUACCGCAUACGUUACGGGGAAGGUUCACAGACUAAGUGGUUAUGGGUCAGGGCUGCCUGACUUAAGAUAUAGUCGGUCGGAUGGUGAAAGCUAUCUGCUAAGACGUUCCGUAGGUGAACCUGCGGAAGGAUCAUUA